GAUGAACGCUGGCGGCGUGCUUAACACAUGCAAGUCGAACGGUGAAGGCGGAGCUUGCUCUGCUGGAUCAGUGGCGAACGGGUGAGUAACACGUGAGCAAUCUGCCCCUGACUCUGGGAUAAGCGCUGGAAACGGCGUCUAAUACUGGAUACGAGCUGCGAAGGCAUCUUCAGCAGCUGGAAAGAAUUUCGGUCAGGGAUGAGCUCGCGGCCUAUCAGCUUGUUGGUGAGGUAAUGGCUCACCAAGGCGUCGACGGGUAGCCGGCCUGAGAGGGUGACCGGCCACACUGGGACUGAGACACGGCGCAGACUCCUACAGGGGGCAGCAGUGGGGAAUAUUGCACAGUGGGCGAAAGCCUGAUGCAGCAACGCCGCGUGAGGGAAGACGGCCUGCGGGUUGUAAACCUCUUUUAGCAGGGAAGAAGCGAGAGUGACGGUACCUGCAGAAAAAGCGCCGGCUAACUACGUG
This 468-nucleotide ribosomal RNA is filed under the name uncultured bacterium. RNAcentral describes it as "partial 16S ribosomal RNA". It matches the Rfam family "Bacterial small subunit ribosomal RNA", at positions 28 to 507 of the family's 1533-position model. The record is from RNAcentral.